CUUAAGCUGCUUGAAAAGCAGCACAAAUCUAUUAAUAGGCUUAUAUUACUAGCAUUAAUGAGCUCCUGCAUAGCUCUGAAAAGGUAAAAUAUAAACACAUAUUCUCUAUUAAUACUUGGAAGACACUUCCCUCACCUAUGUUUUUAUUCUUCCUACUUCUUUCCCAUUCUUCUAUUGUCUGGAGAGACAGUCUUGUGGUAGCAAGCAUGAAUUAUUCCCUUUCCUGAGCAGCCUUGGUAUGCAUUUGGAUGGGUGACUUCAUGUGAAUAUUGCCUGCUGUAAGAUAUUCCCAUUAGAUGAUGGGUCUGUAGACGUUGGUAGAGCAUCUGCCUGCAUUCAGAAGAUCCCAGGUUUGAUCCAAGGCAUCUCCAGAGAAUGCCUUCCGGAACCCAGGAGCAGCUACAGAGAAGGCCCAAUCCCAUGUCGCCGUCAGGUGACCUGGCAGCAACCAGAGAUGGACCUCUCUUGAAGACCUUAAAGUGCAGUGGGGCUCAUACUGAAGAAGGCACUUUCCCAGAAAACCAGCUUGUGAAGUUUUCAUGGUGCCUAUAGAUUGUUGUGGAUCAAGCUUCUAUCAAAAGGGCAGCUAGUGGAGUCAGUUCCACAGCUGGCAACUCUACUGUUCUGCAAGCACUCCUGGAUUUCUGGAAAUAAAAACCCCCACCUUCCUGAAUUACUUACCAAAAACAGUCUUUCCAUAGAACAAGAAAUAUCAAGAGAGUACUAGGCUGCACCACAAAAACUGCCAGAAAACCUGCAAAGAAAUCUUUAUCACAGUGAUUAGUAUCAACAUCCCUGAGAGCAAACAAUUUAGAAUACAAUGGGUCUAAUCAGGCCAGUCCUAGAAUGUCUCUUAUCUCUAACACUGUCUCCUAAUGGCAACAAUUGCAUGGAUGAAUCCAGACAGCCCUUGACAUCUCAACUGAACUCUCAUAAAAGAAUAAUUAUGGGCAUCAAUUGACAUUAAUCCCAGCAUGGCCAUGCCUCCUCUGACCUCCAUGUCCCAUAAACAUGUAUGACAUUAUUAAAAUGUGCACCUUAUAGUUAAAACAUACACCCAUGCUGCAUAGAAAAUACAGUUGAUUAGCAGAGGUCUUAGGGCAUUGAGCCAUUCACUUGUUAGUUCAUGUAUACCAUUAUAUAUGAUUGGAGUCAGGGGUGUAGCUAGGGGAGAGGGGGCCCGUGUUCAUCCCUCUCUCUGGCGGAUCCCCAGGGAGACAAUGAAGAAAAUAGGGAGGGAUGGAGCUGGAGGGCACCCAGAAGCCAGGGAACCAUGUUCUUUGAACCCUUUUGCUCAGUUAUAGCUACGUCCCUGAAUGGAGUUUUGAGGGCUUCAUACUGUGACUGCUUGACACAUUUGUGCUUGUGUGAGUGUAACACUUGUCCAUGGAUGCUGUUGUAGUCUAUCUAGCAGGGGUGUGCAUGAAUCAAUUUUUUUGUUUCAAUCUGUACCUGAAUUGCAUCACCACCAAUUUGUUUUGGGUCUGAAUCUGAUCCCCCAAAUCACCCCAGAUUUGAUUUGUACCUGAAUUUUCCAAAUCCGAAUCUGAAUAGAUAUGGAUCAAAAAAGGGGUCCCGGGGGUGGGUGGUAGUGUCCAAUGUGUGGAAACUACCACCCAAAUUUCAAAGAAAUUGGGCCAUGGGGUGAUUUUUAAAGAAUUUUUGCGGUUUAUGCAUCUUUAAGCUUUUUCCCAUAGUGAAUAAAGGGGAUUUCAGCAACCUUAUAGCUCCACAUGGGGGGCACUGGGGUGGCCGAGAGUGGGGUGUGGUGGGUGGUAGUGCCCAAUGGGUGCAAGGAAGCUACCACUCAGAUUUCAAAGGAAUUGGCCAAAGGGGUGAUUUUUAAAUCACUUCUCCAACCUUGGAGAAGCCACUGCCAGUCUGUGAAGACAAUACUGAGCUAGAUAGACCAAUGGUCUGACUUAGUAUAUGGCAGCUUCCUAUGUUCCUAUGUUAAAUGAUUUUUGAAUUUGGCAUGUCUUUGUGGCAGAUUUGGGACAGAAAGGGGGUUUAGGGGGCAGAAGAGUGGGUCAGGUGGUAGUGCCCCAAUGGGUGCCUGCUACCAUCCAGAUUUCAAAGGAAUUGGGCAAAAGGGUGAUUUAAAAUAAUUUGUGAAGUUUGUGCGUCUUUAUGCUUUUCCCCAAUAGGGAAUAAUGAGGAUUUCAGCAGCCCCAUGACUCCAUUUGGGGGGCACUGGGGUGGCCCAGAGUGAGUGGUGGUGUAGUGCACAUAGGGUGCCAACCACCCCCAAACCCACAAGCCCAUGGGGUACUGGGUUUUGUUGUUUCUGAGAUGUUCUGAGAGUAGAUUCUCUGGUAGCAAAUGAGAGUGGAUUCACUGUUUGUCAUAGAAAAUGAAUCCACUCUCAUUUGCUAUCAGAUAAUCUACUGUCUAUCCCCAUUGUCCCAUAGGGUGGAUGCAGCACACGUCAACAACAGCAGAGCUUUGCAAAGAACAAGGUUUCCAAAGGUCACACACAUCCACUGUGCCACUCACCACAUCCACUGUGUCCCACCAUCCCCCCCCAACAUAAAUGCAAUUGAUCUACACACAACAGUGUAAAACAACAACAAUGAAAUGCACUGCCCCACGCACCCCCUUCCAAUGCAGGAUAACAGCAGCAGCCAGCAACAAGCAAGCAAGUUAGUAUGAUAUCACAGAUGCAGCAGACUAGGGCCAACAACAGCAUCAAAUGUGCCCUCCCUCCUCCAAGCAUUUCAUCAACAAGCAGCAGACUCAGCUACAUCUGUGGCACCCGGCCAUAAGUGGGUUAAGUAAGGAUGCAAAACAAUCUGCCAGUGGAACAGCGAGGUUUGGCCCCCCUCCCAUCUACACAAGUAGAAGAGUGGCGAUUGAUGACAACACGGCACACAAUUUUUGGUGUAUUUUUUUAAAAAAUAUUUCUGCAAUGGAUCAGAGCCUGUGGCACCAACACAACCUAUUGUAGAUGCAAGCAAUCUAGUUUGAAUAAAAAUGAGGAUGAUGCUAGAAGAUACAAUAUGACCCAAUCUUCAUUACAAAGAAGUCCACACACAGAGAGAGAACCUGUCCUGUGCCCAUCCAUGAG
Hemicordylus capensis (graceful crag lizard) is the source of this 3067-nucleotide long non-coding RNA. RefSeq lists it as uncharacterized. The transcript has 3 exons. Lineage: Eukaryota; Metazoa; Chordata; Lepidosauria; Squamata; Cordylidae. The record is from RefSeq and is a predicted model, not a curated record.